RNAcentral lists this long non-coding RNA (6275 nucleotides) under Nicotiana tabacum (common tobacco). RNAcentral describes it as "long non-coding RNA (NTAB_LNC000839)". Lineage: Eukaryota; Viridiplantae; Streptophyta; Magnoliopsida; Solanales; Solanaceae. The record is from RNAcentral.
AUAAUGAAAGGGUAAACAAUGUGGUGAAAGGUGUGAAGGUGAGAUUUGAUGAUAAUGAGCUAGAGGAGAUUCUAAGGAUACCUGUUGAAGGCUACAUAAGCAACAUGUCAUAUUUUUCACAUAAAUAUGUAAUCUCUACUUCCUAAGCAGCCUUCAUUGAACAACUGAUCAUACUAUAUAUAAAUCUAUAUUUUGGUUAAGCUACUCUACUCCAGAUGCGUUCAGCAAUCUCUAGCCUUCUUUGGGUCUCAAUAACUGCAAUUUAACUUGUUGUGACUACAAGUGCUAAGAAAAGAAAGAUUUCUAAGAAGAAGUCCCCUGAAAAUUCCGUUGAUACAGAAAGCUCUGCCUUGGUAAAAAGAACCAGGUCUGCCAGAAAAUCAAGAAAAGUGCAAAUAGUGGAAGAAGAGGGUGAAGAGGAAGAGGAGACUGAUGAAGAAAAGAACAAGAUGGUGAAGUUUGAAAAAAGAACAAUUCUGAAGGGGAGGCUCCUCAAAGAUUUGGAAGAGGAAGGAAGGACAUGGUCCCUCAGUUGGAAGGAAUGUUAGCCCUAAAAAGUUUAAGAUAGAGAAUGAAAGAGUAAAUAGUGUGGUGAAAUGAGUAAAAGGUGAAGUUUGAUGAUAAUGAGCUAGGGGAGAUUCUAAGGAUACAUGUUGAAGGCUACAUAAGCAACAUGUCAUAUGUUUCACAUGAAUAUGUAACUUGAGUAACCUCUACUUCCUAAGCAGCCUUCAUUGAACAACCAACCAUACUAUAUAUAAAUACUAGAUAUCCCGUGCAUGUGUUGUGCACGGGCCUAACACGACCAUAAGCCUAACACCACUGCACAAAAUAGGUCCGAGAGUAAGAAAGAUAAUUUCAUACUUGUGUAGUAAGAUUACCCCCGAAAAAUAAAAUGACGAAGCAAUACCAUCCGUUGACUAAAUAUUACAACAUAAUACACCACAUUCAUUUGUUUAGCUUCAUUAGUCCAAUUGCAUUUUUAGCUUGCUUCUAUGAGAAUGAGAAAGAUAAAAACAAUCAGAUAAAUCGUGUUCAUGUUGGUAGUCCCACUAAUACAAAAUAUUGGAUAAAAUUUGGACAGUUGCAGUUGACAACAAAUACUUCAUCUUAUAUCCACCUAAAGAAAAGAAAAUCAAGCAUUAGUAUUAUUGGUAAGACUUACAUAUGGUAGUAUAACAAUCAUAAAAUUCAGCUAGUUUGCAUAUUCAGCAAAACAAUCAUAAAUUCAUUAAUUUUGGAGGAAAAAGAGGGGCAUAAAAUAUCAGCAUGGACUAAGAGGAGAAAGAAAAGAUUCAGACACGGUAGACCUAUUGAAAUGCCCCCAUCAAAGGCAUGUUCUAAAUCUGAAUUGGGUCUCUUCUUUUUAGCAAUCUAUAGCUAGGCAUUAAAUAAUGAUUUACAACCUUGGAGGACCUAUUUAGGGAUAUGAACCUUUAACCUAUUUCAUUGGAGGAGACUAUCUUCAUUGAUUUUGGUAUUGAUGUAAUAACUGAAAAGUGAUACACACCAAAUUUAAAAUAGAAAAUCUGCAAUAGAAGCACUACCAGUAAAUCACAAUUCACAACCAUACUCGCAUAUUCUGUGACUUAGGAGAGAUCAUGUAGUGGUAUUUCUAUUUCAAUCACCUGACCCUACUCUAUUCAUGAGAACAACUGCUAUCUAUGUUGAAUGAAUGCGUCCAGGUUACUACAAAAAUUUCUAGACAAAUUCUAACUUCUGCAAAUACUACUUCAAUUGCCUUAUUUCUAUUAUAUACUUACAAGCAACGACCAUCUCAUCAUGACCAUCUAUCGAAGAGAUGCACCAAAAAGAUCUGAAAAACAUAAAGCAGAUAAACGAACCUUCAAAAUAUAAGUUUUGAGUAGUAUUUAAACACAUGUUAAAGGAUACAAUGAAAAGAAGCAUAUUGCCAACGACAAGUCUGUUUUUUCAUUUCCUUGCAAAACUUACUAAUGACAAACUAAGUGAAUGUGUGGGCUAAAGAUGUUGCAACCUGAUCAUUCUAGAUAUGUCCAUGUUAUUGUCCUUGGUGGGGCUUCAGUGAGAGUUCAUCAUUUAUAAUUUGCUGCUUUUGAGGCUAGUGAAAAAUAUUCAACAUGUUGUGCGAGAGAUUUGGAAACAACAGUUAUCACUUAUCACAUGCCAUCAGUUCUUGCUCGAUCCUUAUCUAUAUGAAAUAAAGCGUGCGUCUAUACCGAUAAGUAGAUAUUGAUUGAUCUCAACUAAUCAAGGGGAAAAUGUUUGAUAUUUUGGUCAAUUCAAAAUAUCAUAAUAAAAAUACCCCCGUACCCUGACAACUUAAAAAAAGUGAAAAGAAGAAAGGAAUGUUGAGGCUAGGAAUGAAGUGCAAAGAGAAAACUGGAGAAAUAAAACUCACAUGCAGACAUCCACUAAUCAAACAAAUCAAAUGCUCAAAAAACAAAAUCAGAGAACAUAGCUUACCAAUUAAUACAAUCGCAGCACACCAGAUUGAUCGGCAAAGGACUGUCAAUCCAACUAAAGAAGAUACUAUCAUGUGACAGAAGCAUUAUUCAAAGUUCAAACUUGCCGCAAUUAUUACUCCCACCGUUCCAGUUUAUGUAAACCUAGCUAUUUCCUUUUUGGUCCGUUCCAAAAAGAAUGACCCCUUUCUAAAUUUGGAAACAAUUUAGCUUAAACUUCCAAUUCUACCCUUAAUGAGAAGCUUUUAUAACCACACAAAUACUCUGGUCCCCAUUUUGACUUGUUUAGGACCACAAAUUCUAAAAAAGUCAUCAUUUUUUCUUAAACUCCGUGAUCAGUCAAACAUGUUCACAUAAAUUGGAACAGAGGGAGUAUUAUUGAAAAAAAUGGAAGGGAAGGAAAAGAUAAAGCUGUAAUUUUGAUUACUUUUGCUCCACGCGUAUAGUAGUCACCGGAACAUCUAUGUACAAGAUAAAAAGUCAUAAGCAAGCUGCGGUAAGGACUUUAUUUUCCUGCAAAACAAUUGUUGAUGUAUAGAAAAACAUGUUACUAAUUUAUAUGAGGGAAUCAAUUAGGAUAUUUGCGAACGAACAUUUAAACUUGUUGCUAAAUUUUUAUGUUUGAGUAGCUUAGUAACUUUUAUUCUCUGUGUAAAAGCAUAGGAGUUAGCAGGACUUCAGAAUAUGCAAGCAUUUGAACUAUCUCGGAGGAGUUGAUUGAAAUAUUUCAAGAAUUUCUCAAGGAUUAAUCUUCAUUUCCUGCACAUACUCUAGUCCCUCUCGAGAUAGUAAUUCUGGGGUUUUCACAUUAUAAAAUGACAUAAAGAUGAUCUCCGAAUGAUCUUCUUAGCUGCUACUUGAUUUUCAAAUGUAUCAACCAAAUCAGACAACCCAAUGAAUGAAAGCUCUUAAUCUUCAUUAUACUCCAGCAUAGAGCGAUAAUGUCUCAAAUUCUAGAGUAAUCUUAAUAUCUCGUUCUGAACACUUAUGUCAUUUGAGUAUCAAAUAAAUCUCAGUUGUAACCUAAAAGCAACAACCAUAAAUUCCAGCUUUGUUUCUUUGAUACUAUGUUGUAGAUUAGUUUUAUGGAGUUACAACCAACAAAUCAGAAGUAGAAAGAUUCAAAAAAUGACGAAGAAACAAUAAUAAUUCAACGAUGAUAGAUAAACAAAAUUGAUUGUCCUUGUAAUAUUGCAUAGAUCAGAGAGCUAUUGUUGAAAUGUGAGACCCGUUUGGCCAUAGAUCACUUUUGACACGGAACCAACCCCCAGAGGAAACAGAGGGACAACAACACAAAACUGCAGCACAUCCCUAUUUUUAUUUCUAAAGCAAGAAAGAACAACGACACUGCCACUCUUCAAUUAAUUUCUAAAUCAAUUCCCAAAUAGAAUUUCAGUGCACCUUUAUCAUCUCUCAACGCAAUUCUAAUGUGCAAAGUCGCCCAAACCUGUAGAAGUAAGAGGUUCUUACUCCCAUGUAGUCUAAAUACUUUUUUUCUUACUAUUUUCUUCAAUCCUUUAUCUUCUUUUUUAUAACAAGAAUAAGUACAACUAUAGAUUUGUUGCCUAACAUAAACUUUUCCUAAGCAUUCAUCCCACAAAUCAAAGUAGGCAAAUAACUUUAAGCUUUUCCUAAUCAUGUAUAUUCCAAUCAAUCAACCUCCAUUCCAUACAUCAUCCUAUUUCUUUGGAUGCUGUCAUAGCCAAAAAGAAGUGACAAAAUAAGACGGUAAACUUUCCUCUUCCAUUGUUAUCUUCGAGAAAUAGAGUAAGACAGUGGACACAUAGAAGGUUUGAAGAUGAAAUUUCAUAAAGAUACCCCACGCCCUAGAUCACUUUCAGCAUUCUAAAGAUGCCAAGUGAAUGUAGAAAUUUGAAAGUUCUAAAAGAUGGAUAUAUAUUCUUUGUUCCGAGUUGGCGAUUUUGGUGUUAUAGAUGUAGUUUAUUGUAAGGUCUGUAAUGUUAUUUGAAAAGUGUUCAUGACGGCUAGUAAGAUGAUAAAGCCCAUAAUACUGUAUGUAAUACCCGAAAGAAUUGUACUCUAGCUAGUUUGUUGAACAUACCAUCACAAUCUCGGUGUUGUUUGUAAUUAGAAAAUUUACCUUUUUAAUCAAAAGCAAUAUAAGGAGAAAAUAUGGUCAAAGUAUAGAAUCAGAUAUGCUGAGCACAUUUUUCCUGAAAUAAAAAGAACUCAAUUUAGUAAAAAUUUUGAUUCAUAUCUUCUCAAGCUCAACCUGAGACUAUACUUUCCUAAAGUCGGAAUAGGAUCGUUCUCCACUUCACGAGAUUUUAAAAAGAACAACUUAAUUUUGUAAAUACUUCAUUAAUCAUUUUUCCCAAAUAAAGUUUUUAAACAUAUAAAAUCUCUAUAAGAAGACAAAAGUGAAAGAACACAAGUAUUUUUCUUGGCUGUACAUUAAAAAUAAAAAGAAUGCAUUUGAAACAUUAGUUUGCUAAUUUCAGUACUGUUGAAGAAGCCUUGUAAAACAUUAAAUUCGGAUAGCCUAACAUACAAUUAUUUCUUGUUAGCUAAGAAGUCCUUUAAAGUAUGCAUCAACUACCGUCAACAGUCAGAUAAAUAUUACUUCUCAUUUAAUUCUAUCCUCUCAUGUCUACAGCAGUUUAGAAAAUCCACAAAAUUGUUUAGAUCCUGGGGCCAUCUUACAAUUACACCAAGAAUACACAAACUGCAAUGACUUGAAUUGAAUACAUGCUAAGGCCCAAUAAGUAUUUUGAAAAAAACUAUAGUUUCUUUCCACAUUGUGCAAAAAAAGCACGAAGGAACUUAUUACUGGAUGUCUUUGUGAAUGUAAUAGAAAAUCUCAUGAAUUAAGCAUAAAAAACCUUUUGUUCUUGGGGAUAAUUGCAUUUUUAAUGAGUUACUAAUAUUGAAAAGGGGAAGUAAGUAAAAGUAAACCAAAAUGUGCAGAACUUACCUGGUACAAGUGAAGCAAUAUUCCUUUCCCCACUUUCAGUUAACAACUUCCUUUAAGAAAAAUCUGAAAAAUCAAUAUUUUGGGACCAUUAUAUUCCUACUAAAUGAAUACAAAAAUAUUCGGUAAUAUCAAAAGUUCAUAUUUCAAACAAAACCCAAGUAAGCGAUACACUAUUCAGUUUAAUAGAGUCUCGUCAAAAAAUAAUAAAAUAGGAGUAAUAAUUUUGAAAAAGAAGAAGAUAAACCCAAUUAAAGAACAUUGUGUGAGAAAAAUAUUGUGCAUGAGUAAAUCAAACAUAUCUACUGACAUGUAUGUAUAACAUUCAAUAAAAUACUGCCCAAAAGUUCAAGAUGCCCAAAAAAUUAUAUUAAAAACAGGAUCCAAACACAUGCAUAGCCGAGAAAACAGAGGAAGAUGCAAAGAAGGUGUCCAAUUCCCUGCUUCUUAGUAGGAGAAACUGAUAGAUAAGUCACCAAAGAAACCCCAAAUUUUCCAUCUUUCAAUUUUCUUUUUCAAACUUUCAGUUCAUACACUUUGAAAACCUAAAUAGACACAAUUCAAUAAUGUAGCCACAUAAGACUCACCAAUCCUUGUAACAUUAAAAAAAUUAGAAAUGGUAAAAGAUAAAAGAUAAAAGAUAUUCUCCAUCUUCAUAAUAGCCAAAGGUAACACAUAAAUAUUAAAAAAAUGAACCCAGAUGGGACUAAAUCUAAAAACUGAGCAAAAUAUUAACAGGGGGAAGAAGAAAAAGGCAUCAGCAAGAGAAAGAGUCGGUGGAAGGGAAAUUGAGAAAUGUAGGAAAAAGGAACUAAACCCACGUGCUGGGUGGAAGUCCAUAAGUCAACAUAGGAGAAGCUCACGUGGGUAUCAACCAUGAGACUGAAUCACCAAACUAC